Molecule: ribosomal RNA, 893 nt
Filed under: uncultured bacterium
Lineage: Bacteria
Description: bacterial SSU rRNA
Rfam family: Bacterial small subunit ribosomal RNA
Source: RNAcentral
AGAGUUUGAUCCUGGCUCAGAACGAACGCUGGCGGCGUGCUUAACACAUGCAAGUCGAGCGGAAAGUGCCCUUCGGGGUACUCGAGCGGCGAACGGGUGAGUAACACGUGAGGAACUGCCCCGGACUUUGGGAUAACCCUCGGAAACGGGGGCUAAUACCGAAUAUGACUUCCCCUCGCAUGGGGGGUGGUGGAAAGUUUUUCGGUCUGGGAUGGUCUCGCGGCCUAUCAGCUUGUCGGUGGGGUAAUGGCCUACCAAGGCGACGACGGGUAGCCGGCCUGAGAGUGGCGACGGCCACACUGGGACUGAGACACGGGCCAGACUCCUACGGGAGGCAGCAGUGGGGAAUAUUGCACAAUGGGCGGAAGCCUGAUGCAGCGACGCCGCGUGAGGGAUGACGGCCUUCGGGUUGUAAACCUCUUUCAGCAGGGACGAAGCGCAAGUGACGGUACCUGCAGAAGAAGCGCCGGCCAACUACGUGCCAGCAGCCGCGGUAAGACGUAGGGCGCGAGCGUUGUCCGGAUUUAUUGGGCGUAAAGAGCUCGUAGGCGGCUUGUCGCGUCGACUGUGAAAACCCGCGGCUCAACCGCGGGCCUGCAGCCGAUACGGGCAGGCUAGAGUUCGGUAGGGGAGACUGGAAUUCCUGGUGUAGCGGUGAAAUGCGCAGAUAUCAGGAGGAACACCGAUGGCGAAGGCAGGUCUCUGGGCCGAUACUGACGCUGAGGAGCGAAAGCGUGGGGAGCGAACAGGAUUAGAUACCCUGGUAGUCCACGCUGUAAACGUUGGGCGCUAGGUGUGGGGGACCUCUCCGGUUCUCUGUGCCGCAGCUAACGCAUUAAGCGCCCCGCCUGGGGAGUACGGCCGCCAAGGCUAAAACUCAAAUGAAUUGACGG